This 253-nucleotide ribosomal RNA is filed under the name uncultured bacterium. Its description in RNAcentral is "partial 16S ribosomal RNA". It matches the Rfam family "Bacterial small subunit ribosomal RNA", at positions 524 to 776 of the family's 1533-position model. The record is from RNAcentral.
AACGUAGGUGGCGAGCGUUAUCCGGAUUUACUGGGCGUAAAGCGUGUGCAGGCGGGGGGACAAGUGGGGGAUGAAAUCUCCGGGCUAAACCUGGAGGGGUUAUGCCAGACUGUCAUUCUAGAGUGCGAGAGAGGGGCGUGGAAUUCCGGGUGUAGUGGUGAAAUGCGUAGAUAUCAGGAAGAACACCUAUGGCGAAGGCAGCACUCUGGGACGGUACUGACGCUGAGACGCGAAAGCGUGGGGAGCGAACAGG